UAGAAGUUUUGUUCUGUAAAAGGGUUGGAUCCGACGCCUCUAGAAGGCUACUAUAGGCUCUCCUUCUCAACUCCUACUCAAACGUCCACGUCGUGCAGAACGGUAACUUGUUGCUCAGAUCCAAGCUUGGGUACACGGGGAAACCCAACCCCUCGGGCGGAUGAGCGGCAAGGCAGAAUUGAGAGGU
Molecule: non-coding RNA, 187 nt
Organism: Anopheles epiroticus
Lineage: Eukaryota; Metazoa; Arthropoda; Insecta; Diptera; Culicidae
Source: Rfam